UAAAAUUGUAUUGUAACUCUUUUAUAUGUAAAGAGUAGUGCAUCUAAUUUUAAAAGAAUGGUUAUUAUUGAUGUUAUUGGAUUCAAAUGUUGUUAUAUUAUUUUGGUAAAUGAUGCUAUGCGCGGUUAGUACAUCUGAAUUUUUAGUUUUUAUCCUAUUUCUAUAUAAAUUAUUUUUUUUUAACUUGAAUUUAUUUUGCAUAUUUUUUUUUUAUUUAAGCAGUUUUACUAAAUAGUUCAUUUACUAUUUUCUUUGUUUCUUCCAAUAAAUUUAAAAGAUAAUUUGUUAUUUCUUAUGGUAUACCACAUAUCUUAGAGUAAAUAUUCAUUUACUACAGGGGGAUGAAUAUUUAAAAAUUGUUUAAAUUGUUAGAGUAAAUAUUUAAUAUAAUUUUUUAUUAAUUAAAAAUAAAUAUAUUUGUUAAAUUUUGUACAUGUUUUUUUAAGACUAAAUAAAUCAUGCUAUGUGGAUAAUUAGUUAUGUUUUUUUCUUAGGGUGGCAUUACAUCAUUUAUUUCUGAGUAUUCAUGCUGUUGUACUGGAAGUUA
RNAcentral lists this long non-coding RNA (547 nucleotides) under Brassica rapa (field mustard). Its description in RNAcentral is "long non-coding RNA (BRAP_LNC006532)". Lineage: Eukaryota; Viridiplantae; Streptophyta; Magnoliopsida; Brassicales; Brassicaceae. The record is from RNAcentral.